This 497-nucleotide ribosomal RNA is filed under the name uncultured bacterium. RNAcentral describes it as "partial 16S ribosomal RNA". It matches the Rfam family "Bacterial small subunit ribosomal RNA", at positions 28 to 507 of the family's 1533-position model. The record is from RNAcentral.
GAUGAACGCUGGCGGCGUGCCUAAUACAUGCAAGUCGAGCGAACAGAUGAGGAGCUUGCUCCUCUGACGUUAGCGGCGGACGGGUGAGUAACACGUGGAUAACCUACCUAUAAGACUGGGAUAACUUCGGGAAACCGGAGCUAAUACCGGAUAAUAUAUUGAACCGCAUGGUUCAAUAGUGAAAGACGGUUUUGCUGUCACUUAUAGAUGGAUCCGCGCCGCAUUAGCUAGUUGGUAAGGUAACGGCUUACCAAGGCAACGAUGCGUAGCCGACCUGAGAGGGUGAUCGGCCACACUGGAACUGAGACACGGUCCAGACUCCUACGGGAGGCAGCAGUAGGGAAUCUUCCGCAAUGGGCGAAAGCCUGACGGAGCAACGCCGCGUGAGUGAUGAACGUCUUCGGAUCGUAAAACUCUGUUAUUAGGGAAGAACAAAUGUGUAAGUAACUAUGCACGUCUUGACGGUACCUAAUCAGAAAGCCACGGCUAACUACGUG